This 512-nucleotide ribosomal RNA is filed under the name uncultured bacterium. RNAcentral describes it as "partial 16S ribosomal RNA". It matches the Rfam family "Bacterial small subunit ribosomal RNA", at positions 28 to 523 of the family's 1533-position model. The record is from RNAcentral.
GAUGAACGCUGGCGGCGUGCCUAAUACAUGCAAGUCGAGCGAACAGAUAAGGAGCUUGCUCCUUUGAAGUUAGCGGCGGACGGGUGAGUAACACGUGGGUAACCUACCUAUAAGACUGGGAUAACUUCGGGAAACCGGAGCUAAUACCGGAUAACAUUUAGAACCGCAUGGUUCUAAGUGAAAGAUGGUUUUGCUAUCACUUAUAGAUGGACCCGCGCCGUAUUAGCUAGUUGGUAAGGUAACGGCUUACCAAGGCGACGAUACGUAGCCGACCUGAGAGGGUGCGCGGCCAUAGUGGGACUGAGACACGGUCCAGACUCCUACGGGAGGCAGCAGUAGGGAAUCUUCCGCAAUGGGCGAAAGCCUGACGGAGCAACGCCGCGUGAGUGAUGAAGGGCUUCGGCUCGUAAAACUCUGUUAUUAGGGAAGAACGAAUGUGUAAGUAACUGUGCACAUCUUGACGGUACCUAAUCGGAAAGCCACGGCUAACUACGUGCCAGCAGCCGCCGCAG